RNAcentral lists this long non-coding RNA (284 nucleotides) under Carica papaya (papaya). RNAcentral describes it as "long non-coding RNA (CPAP_LNC015183)". Lineage: Eukaryota; Viridiplantae; Streptophyta; Magnoliopsida; Brassicales; Caricaceae. The record is from RNAcentral.
AGGGAAUCUCACCCAUGCUACAACAAAGGUCACCGUAUCGUUGUUGAUGGAGAAAGUCGAUGUCCAUGGUUGCACUAUUAGGUAGUGUUCGUAGAUAACUCAUGGACCCCCGGUGAGUGUAUGCAUGAAAUCAUUGAGGUCAGUGAAUUUUGCGUAGUCAUUAUACAUAUCAAUGAGUUGGAAGGUUCCUGUUGGUCUCUAAAGGUUCUAGAGGUAGCUAAGUAAGGCGCAAUAGCUAAGGGAUUUGCUCAAGAAUCAUAUAAUCACACGAUGUUUCAUGGAUU